This is a long non-coding RNA of Prunus mume (Japanese apricot), 610 nucleotides long. RefSeq lists it as uncharacterized. NCBI's taxonomy places the organism in Eukaryota, Viridiplantae, Streptophyta, Magnoliopsida, Rosales, Rosaceae. The record is from RefSeq and is a predicted model, not a curated record.
UUUGUGUUUUUCUAAAUUUUUUUCUACUCGUCUUAUCGCUCGAGCGACACUUGCUCUAAGGUCCUUCUGGUCGAGCUCAAGCUUCAAGCCUCCAUAGCAGAAGCUUGAAGCUCUCUUGCCCCUCUCUCUCUCUCCAUCUCUCUCUUCGUCCCUCUCUCUCAUCAGUAACUUUUAGGGCUGGGCAUCUGAGUACCGCCCUCGCCGCCUCCUCUCGUCUCUACGAUUCUGUCAGUUGAAGUCUCGACGUCACACGUCAUCGAACAUGCGCGCACCAUUGGCUCGUCGUGAAUUGGAGUUGCUCAUCUCCGAUCUCUACAAUUGGUGACAUUAUUAGGGCCCGAAUGGAAUUGUACACAAUUUGCAUGAUCUUGAUGUGGUAGAUGAAGAAAGCUCUUGCGGAAAUCAAGCUGGGAACACACCCAUUUGCAUGAGUGAGGACAAUGCUAAUGAAAUUAGUGAUGCUAGAGAUUAGAUAGCCGGAGCAAUAUCAUUAGUCUUAGAAUUUAUUAGUCUAGAAUAUUUUAAUUUAAUAUGUAUUAUUUAAGACUUGAAGAUCAAUUGAGUUUGACGAUCAUUAUAUAUGUAUGGCAUUAAAAUAUAGAUUUUAAAA